Molecule: long non-coding RNA, 274 nt
Organism: Drosophila elegans
Lineage: Eukaryota; Metazoa; Arthropoda; Insecta; Diptera; Drosophilidae
Exons: 2
Source: RefSeq, a predicted model, not a curated record
UUAAUCUGUUUAUUAUUUUUAUACCCGAAGGCCUGAGGUUGCAGUUCAAGUUGUUAAACCAAGCUGUGGCAUCUUUUAUGCUCCAUCCCACUACAGUGAAGAUACCGUGUGAAGGAGCGUUUUUGGCAGCCAAGUCCACGAAAUCGCUUUGGGGUAUGCCAGUGUGGCUGGGUAUGUAAUGGAUUUCAACCGCCACUAGUUGAGGAUGAUUGGCAAUUUUCUUUCUUAUGUUGCAGCUUAUGUAUGAUGUAAAUAUAACUUUGUUUUGUUUUGA